GAUGAACGCUGGCGGCGUGCCUAAUACAUGCAAGUCGAGCGAACAGACGAGGAGCUUGCUCCUCUGACGUUAGCGGCGGACGGGUGAGUAACACGUGGAUAACCUACCUAUAAGACUGGGAUAACUUCGGGAAACCGGAGCUAAUACCGGAUAAUAUAUUGAACCGCAUGGUUCAAUAGUGAAAGACGGUUUUGCUGUCACUUAUAGAUGGAUCCGCGCCGCAUUAGCUAGUUGGUAAGGUAACGGCUUACCAAGGCAACGAUGCGUAGCCGACCUGAGAGGGUGAUCGGCCACACUGGAACUGAGACACGGUCCAGACUCCUACGGGAGGCAGCAGUAGGGAAUCUUCCGCAAUGGGCGAAAGCUUGACGGAGAAACGCCGCGUGAGUGAUGAAGGUCUUCGGAUCGUAAAACUCUGUUAUUAGGGAAGAACAAAUGUGUAAGUAACUAUGCACGUCUUGACGGUACCUAAUCAGAAAGCCACGGCUAACUACGUG
This 497-nucleotide ribosomal RNA is filed under the name uncultured bacterium. Its description in RNAcentral is "partial 16S ribosomal RNA". It matches the Rfam family "Bacterial small subunit ribosomal RNA", at positions 28 to 507 of the family's 1533-position model. The record is from RNAcentral.